AUUGAACGCUGGCGGCAGGCCUAACACAUGCAAGUCGGACGGUAGCACAGAGGAGCUUGCUCCUCGGGUGACGAGUGGCGGACGGGUGAGUAAUGUCUGGGGAUCUGCCCGAUAGAGGGGGAUAACCACUGGAAACGGUGGCUAAUACCGCAUAACGUCGCAAGACCAAAGAGGGGGACCUUCGGGCCUCUCACUAUCGGAUGAACCCAGAUGGGAUUAGCUAGUAGGCGGGGUAAUGGCCCACCUAGGCGACGAUCCCUAGCUGGUCUGAGAGGAUGAACAGCCAAACGGGAACUGGGACACGGGCCAGACUCCUAGGGGAGGCAGCAGUGGGGAAUAUUGCAGAAGGGGCGCAAGCCUGAUGCAGCCAUGCCGCGUGUAUGAAGAAGGCCUUCGGGUUGUAAAGUACUUUCAGCGGGGAGGAAGGCGGUGAGGUUAAUAACCUUGCCGAUUGACGUUACCCGCAGAAGAAGCACCGGCUAACUCCGUGCCAGCAGCCGCGGUAA
Molecule: ribosomal RNA, 506 nt
Filed under: uncultured bacterium
Lineage: Bacteria
Description: partial 16S ribosomal RNA
Rfam family: Bacterial small subunit ribosomal RNA
Source: RNAcentral